UGCAUGCGGGAGAGAUCCGGCCGGUGUCCUUCAGGGAGGCAGGCCGGGCGCCGAAGGAGCAACCGCCCCGGAAACUCUCAGGCAAAAGGACCGCAU
Molecule: non-coding RNA, 96 nt
Filed under: uncultured Hyphococcus sp.
Lineage: Bacteria; Pseudomonadati; Pseudomonadota; Alphaproteobacteria; Parvularculales; Parvularculaceae
Description: Glycine riboswitch
Rfam family: Glycine riboswitch aptamer
About the family: This family represents the bacterial glycine riboswitch. Glycine riboswitches usually consist of two metabolite-binding aptamers domains with similar structures in tandem.
Source: RNAcentral